This is a long non-coding RNA of Aethalodelphis obliquidens (Pacific white-sided dolphin), 239 nucleotides long. RefSeq lists it as uncharacterized. The record is from RefSeq and is a predicted model, not a curated record. The transcript has 2 exons. NCBI's taxonomy places the organism in Eukaryota, Metazoa, Chordata, Mammalia, Artiodactyla, Delphinidae.
GCAGAGGUCGAGCAGGGGGUUCCUGGGGCUGGGCGUCGGCUCGGAAUCAGGUGUAUGGUGGAGUUUCCAGGGGAGAUUGGCUAUUGCAACAGGUGGAAUGCAGAAUCAGAUAUGAGAAUCCAGCUGCUUUCUGUUCAGUCAACAUUAAUGGGAGGCAAACAUGUAAAACAAUGCCUCUCUUUUUAUGGCAUGUUUUUGUUUUGAAUGUGAUUAUUUUUCAUUAAAAAUGUUAUUCGUUA